UGGUCCAGACUCGAUUAUUUACAGACCGCCGUCAUAUAGCAGGAAUAUUGCUGAGUGCGGCGUUAAACAACAAACUAACCAACCAGAGUAAUCUAUCAAACUGUAGCCACAAGAGAUAACCGCAACCCACUACAAACGUAAGCGGAAAUGUUAUGGAAACAAAAGAAUGAUAAUGCUGAUAUCGGUACGGCUCUUCGAAGUGGCUAGGACACCGGAACGACACAGAUUGUUUCAAUGUGUACUGAUGUCUUUCAUAUAUCAAGAAUUGAUAAAAAAUUCCACAAUCUAAAGAAUCUGAAGAAUAUCUUCAGUUUCAUUCCUGCUUUUGUGGUUUUUAACUGAUAUCCUGAGUAGUCUGCUUGUAGCCUUGAGAACAUUCAUUAAAAUGACUAUUUCGUUUUUCGAGACAAUCUUUUAACCAUUUGUAAUUUGCAAAUACAUGACGGCCCCUUUUCAUGGUCCAAUCCAAAAUUUUCGUUAAUUUCUUCAAGGGAAACCUACGUAGAGAGAGGUAAUUUUGCAAAUCAAUUCAAAAUAAAAAAUAAAUUGUUUAAUCAUAUAUUUGAGUCAAUUCAUUUGACUAAUGAUAAAGAAAUCAUUGACGUCUCAAAAUUAAUUUUUAAAUUGACUUCAGUUGACGGUGGUGUCAGUACCUGGGGCCAGUGGACUGGACCAGCUUGCCCUCAGACAUGUGGGACCUCGCACACCAUAACGAAAAGCCGGACUCGAACAUGCACGAACCCGUCUCCAGAUAAAGGAGGGGCAAGCUGCACAGAAAGCCUCUCGGAAACAGGUGACGUCAACUGUGGUUUGCCCCAAUGUCCGUACUAUCCUAACUUUGGCACGUGCAGCUCCUCUUGUUCUGGGACGAACGUGGUCUGCAACAACGGUUAUUGUGUGUGUAGCAUAAUGUACGUCAAGCUCGACAGCAGCUGUGUCCAGGAUUGCGGCGGAUCUGGAUAUGGAUCAGGCUUCACCAUCUUUCACGACAAAGUCCUGAAUGGUUACAACGACAAGAUCGUCUCCUCCAUUCAAACAAUUGACGCGUGUAUCAGUCUGUGCCAGGCGGAAUCGGGUUUUACUUGUAUUACCGCGGACUAUGCGCAUCAGUCAAAGACUUGCUACUUGAGCAAAACAGCUUGGUAUGAUGUACCAGCGAGCUCGGCUGGCAGUAGCACCAUAUAUCACCAGGUAAUUCGUAAUUGUGCUUAAAAGUCGGAAAGGAGAGGUCACUUGUAGCAUGUAGGAGAGGUCACUUGUAGCAUGUAUAUAUAUAUUUUGUGUACAAAGAGAACAGUCACGGCGAUGCGAAAAAAAUAUUGCUUUUGCAAGUUCGUGAUUUGAGGUUGGUCAGAUUUCAGGUAGAUCAAGAAGGAUGCCCUUACAAAGCUCUACAUUAUCAGAAGUUAACGGAUCGAGUGGGUCAGGCUGUCUCGCUGACUUAAUUGGUUGAUGCAUGUCAUCGUAUCCCAACUGCGUGGAUUGAUGCUCAUGAUGUCAAUUUCUGGAUUGUCUUGACUCGAUUAUUUACAGACCGCCGUCAUAUAGCUGGAAUAUGGCUUUAACACACAAACAAACUUAAGUGGCUGUGCAGUAGAUUCGAGUUCAAUUCCCAUCACUAAUGCCAUUGUUGGUUUUCCCCUUCCUAUUGUUGUGGUGAUCUCGAGCCAAUGCUUAUAAUGUACCAUGCACCCUAGCUUCACCAAACUUUCUCCACACAUUAACCGCAAUGAGUACUUGUGCCUUUUGCUAGUUUGAAGAUUCUGAUUUUUUUAAUUUUUGCC
Molecule: long non-coding RNA, 1784 nt
Filed under: Haliotis rufescens (red abalone)
Lineage: Eukaryota; Metazoa; Mollusca; Gastropoda; Lepetellida; Haliotidae
Description: uncharacterized LOC124140574
Source: RNAcentral